AUGGCCACGCCCUCUGUCUCAUGAGAUAUUGACGUCUUUUCCAAGAGUAAUUUCAAGAUACUGUAAAAGCAUAAUAUUUCGUUGGGAAAUUAAUUUCGUUUUUCGUUUAUAAAAACCGCGAAAUAUAAUCCCAACAAACUUUUUAAACACACAAAAUAUACCCUUAACGAAAAUAUGAAAUAAAGUACUAAAUUUAAUCACAAAUCCAUAUUGUAUUUACAUUAAGACACAAGUCAUGAUUAAUGGUGUAACUAUCGUUACAGGCACAGAGGUAAACACUUAAAACAACAGCGUGUCAAUCAAGCGUUAUAUUUGUAACACAGUUACAUCGCUCUUUGUAUGUAAAAUAUUGAGCAUGAUGGAUUUGACCAUUACCCAUCGAGUGAGUAAAUCUUGCCCGGUCUUAUAUCACCUGUACUAUAUAUUUACCUGCACUGUGUCGUCACGCUUGUCAAUUUAAACUUCUUAUUUACCAGAAAAAAAAGUACAGGGUUUUAAAUUAUUGAGAUUCCACGAAAUAUAAUUCCAACAAAUUUGUCCCCAUACAAAAACAACGAAAUUUAACCCUAACGAAAAUAUAUGCUUUUACAGUAGAACGCAACAAAGCAUUAGAGUUCCUGCUCCUGGUCAUAAUCUGUCGUUGUUUUUAGAGUUAGAAUUUUCACUAAAACAUCAUUUUAUUUUGAAUUGAUGUUGUUACAUUUAGCUUAUAAGGUGAAAGCUCUACAGAACCAUUUGACCCUUGCAUUGUCUGUCUAAGAGUACAAUGCUGUGAUGAUACAAAGAAAAGAUUCUUAUUUAACAUAUAGAAACAAAGAUCACUAUUACCCAACAUUAACAACUUUGAUUGUCUCUGGAUCCAGAAGCUUUUCAGGCUAUUUUUAAGUGUUUUGAAUUUUGAAAUAACAUGUCGAAUCUCUUUUAAUGAAAAAGUUCUGUUUGCAUUGAUCAUGAAUAACCAUUAGUAAUAAAAACAAAAAGUGAGAUUAGUUUUGCUUUCCGCUUUUACUGCUUUAUUGAAUUUUAGUUACCAGGUAAAAAGAAAACUACGGUAAAUGAUUUAGUACAAAACUAAAAUGUAUUGUGAUGUGACAAGGUAAAGUUGCUGUAUAUGAAAUCCCAGAUUCUCGAUAUUUCAGGUACUAGAUAUGGGAUUUUGUACAAAUGUUAAGUGCUGUUUAAAUUACUUUGAUAUCUAGAGUAACAAUUGUAGAACACAAGUAUCUGUCAGCCAGGUGUUUGACAGUUGUUUGACAGUUGUUUGACAGUUGUUUGACAGGUGUUUGACAGGUGUUUGACAGGUGUUUGACAGGUGUUUGACAGUUGUUUGACAGGUGUUUGACAGGUGUUCGACAGUUGUUUGUACACUCGUAGAUUGUUUACUCUGUGUAAGUUGUGUAUGUGUGUGUUGAAGCUGUGUACAUGCAUACAGUCAUGUACACUUGAAAGCAAAUGUUGUCUACACGUGUUUAAAAAGCAAGGAAGAAUGUUGAAUUCUGAUACAUGUGAAUAGGUGGUAGGUAAAGAACAAUUAGUUUUUACAUUGUUUACAGAUCAAAAUAAUAAAUCAUGAAUCAUUUCAUUUUGAUGAACAAACAGAAGUCCUUAUGGCCAUGCUUUACUUAUUUGAUUUGGAAAGAUGUCGGUCCCUGUUGUCGCACAUCAUGUGACAUCAGUAAUCACACAUCACUUAUUUGAUGUUGACAUAGGUCACUUGUGGUCGCACAUCACUUAUUUGAUGUUGACAUAUGAUAGGUCACUUGUGGUCACACAUCACUUAUUUGAUGUUGACAUAGGUCACUUGUGGUCGCACAUCACUUAUUUGAUGUUGACAUAGGUCACAUGUGGUCACCCAUCACUUAUUUGAUGUUGACAUAUGAUAGGUCACUUGUAGUCGCACAUCACUUAUUUGAUGUUGACAUAGGUCACAUGUGGUCACCCAUCACUUAUUUGAUGUUGACAUAUGAUAGGUCACUUGUAGUCGCACAUCACUUAUUUGAUGUUGACAUAGGUGACAUGUGGUCACACAUCACUUAUUUGAUGUUGACAUCUGAUAGGUCACAUGUGGUCGCACAUCACUUAUUUGAUGUUGACAUAGGUCACAUGUGGUCACACAUCAAUAAUUUGAUGUUGAAAUGCACAAUUUACUUAAUGUUGACAUAUGUCAGUUGAUGUCACACAUGACUUGUUUGAUGUUGACAUACGUCGUAUGUAAUGGUCACAUUACUUACUUGAUGUUGACAUACGUCGUAUGUAAUGGUCACAUUACUUACUUGAUGUUGACAUACGUCGUAUGUAAUGGUCACAUUACUUACUGGAUGUUGACAUACAUCGUAUGUAAUGAUCACACAUUACUUACUUGAUGUUGACAUACGUUGUAUGUAAUGGUCACACAUUACUUACUUGAUGUUGACAUACAUCAGUUGUUGUCACACAUGACUUGUUUGAUGUGGACAGGUGUCGGUUGUCACACAUCAUUAAUUUGAUGACACACAUGAGUUGUCAUCAUUUAAGUUAUUUGAUGUUGACUUGCGUCAGUUUUCAUCACACAUCACUUUUUUGAUGUUGACAUAGGUCACUUGUGGUCACACAUCACUUAUUGGAUGUUGAUAUAGGUCUCGUUGUCAGCCAUCGCUAUUUUGAUGUAGACAGACGACAGUUCUCGUUGUCAGCCAUCACUUAUUUGAUGUAGACAGACGUCAGUUCUCGUUGUUGGCCAUCACUUUUUUAUGUGGACAGAUGUUAGUUCUUGUUGUCAGCCAUCACUAGUUUGAUGUAGACAGAUGUCAGUUCAUGUUGUCAGCCAUCACUAGUUUGAUGUAGACAGACGUUAGUUCACGUUGUCAGUCAUCACUAGUUUGAUGUAGACAGAUGUCAGUUCAUGUUGUCGGCCAUCACUAGUUUGAUGUAGACAGACGUCAGUUCAUGUUGUCGGCCAUCACUAGUUUGAUGUAGACAGACGUCAGUUCACGUUGUCAGCCAUCACUAGUUUGAUGUAGACAGACGUUAGUUCACGUUGUCGGCCAUCACUAGUUUGAUGUGGACAGACCUUAGUUCACGUUGUCAGCCAUCAUUUGUUACUUCAUGAUCUUUACAUGCAAUAAAUUGUAUCAUUAUACCAUUGUAAAUGUAA
This is a long non-coding RNA of Mizuhopecten yessoensis (Yesso scallop), 3133 nucleotides long. RefSeq lists it as uncharacterized. The transcript has 2 exons. The record is from RefSeq and is a predicted model, not a curated record. Lineage: Eukaryota; Metazoa; Mollusca; Bivalvia; Pectinida; Pectinidae.